GAUACAGAGGAAGUCUAGGGGUCAUGUUAGGCUUCUCUGGUUUCUCCACUUGGCCACACACAGAAUGUCCUCUGCUUCAUCCCUGACAGGGCAUCAGGCUCUGCUUGUGUGCCUCCCAUGGCAAGGAACUCAGUUUCUCUCCAGGUAGCCCAUUUCAUCACGGGACAACACUGCUGUCUACAAAUUAGGCAGAAUGUCUGCCAGUAAGGGAGUGGAGCGAGCAAAAGGCUGCUCACUCUUAGAAUCCAGCCACCAUACUGUGAGGAAGCCCAAUUUAGCCUAUGCAGAGGAACUAGUGAGAGGCCACGUGGAGGUGCUUCAGUUGACAGCCCCAGGGAGCACAGUGCUUGUCCAGACCCACCCAGCUGGGAGGGGACAGAGGAAGAAUUUGAGCCCAGAGUUGACCCAUCUCCAGCAAGGACAGAAAGACGAUGGGCAUCAUGCACAGCUCUCUGAAAGAACAGAGAUCCUGUUAACAGCAAGCCAUGUGUCUCUCAGGUCCCCCCAGCCACCUGCAGCCCAGCCAUGCUGCGUUAGAAACCACAGAUGCAACCCACGACCUCGUUCUACUGACUGAGAGCAGAGCCACGGAAAAGCUGAGGAAACAGAGACCUGGAGACAUAUAUGCAAUUACCCUCAAGCGAGAGGUGAACUGGAUUCAGUCGACGCAGAUGUCUGGGGUGGGACCCUGAGAUGCUGCGUUGCUCACAAGCUCCCAGGUGAUGGGAAUGGACCUGGUCCAUGGGCUGCACAUGAAGCAGCAGAGAUGCAUCGAUGUGUCCAUUGAAUAGACACAGACCAGGAAGUCGACCUGCUGCCACCCCAGAACUGUGUCAUUUAUUUAUUCUGCCCAUAUGUAUUGGGUGUUUCUCCUUGCCAGGCAUUGUAUUGAGAUACUGUAGAAGACUAAAAGAUGAGACAGGCGUGCUCCCUGACCUGAUGGACUUUAGACCUAAAGCAAAUGAACUAAACUCUUACAAGUGUAAUAAGAGGGGCUUUGCUUACAGCACACAGAAGUACAUUAUAUUGUGCGGAUGGAUGUGAUGUGCAGAACGCCACUGGGCAAGAGACACGAGUCAGUGCAGCAGCGGCAGGAUAUUUGCAGACGGGCUUGAGUACCGGACCCUCACCUCUCUUGAGAGACUCUGAGAGUGGUAUACCUUGGCCUGCCCAUACCACUCUCCAUCCCCACAUCCUCCAGCUCAGGGACAUGUUUGAUCAGGCCUGCAUGAUCAAAACCACCCCCAACCACAGUAUGGACACUGACACCUAGCCCUCCGUUUACUGUGAGAGUUACUCUUUGGAUUGUUUUGAAUCGCAAAGGAUGUCAUUGACCCCAAUGCUACCCCAUCUUCACUGGUGCUCAGAAUUUUCUGGGCAUAUGGCUGCCAGAGUUGGCAAAUAAAAACACAAGAUGGCCAGUUAAAUGAGAAUUUCAGAUAGACUAGGAAUAUACUAGUGGACAUAUAAGUAUAUCCCAUGCAAAAUUUGGGAGAUACUUAUACUAAAACA
This 1512-nucleotide long non-coding RNA is filed under the name Callithrix jacchus (white-tufted-ear marmoset). RNAcentral's name for it is "lncRNA (ENSCJAG00000066736.2)". Lineage: Eukaryota; Metazoa; Chordata; Mammalia; Primates; Cebidae. The record is from RNAcentral.